GACAGAGGCCUCAAGCGUUAGGCGGAAUCACUGGGCUUAAAGCGUGUGUAGGCGGAUCGUUAAGUGUCUUGUGAAAUCCCACGGCUCACCCGUGGAACGGCUGGGCAUACUGGCGAUCUUGGGCCAACUAGGGGCAACUGGAACAAGCGGUGGAGCGGUGAAAUGCGUAGAUAUCGCUUGGAACGCCGAAGGUGAAAACAGGUUGCUGGGGGUUGUGCCGACGCUGAGACACGAAAGCCCAGGGGAGCAAACGGGG
RNAcentral lists this ribosomal RNA (256 nucleotides) under uncultured bacterium. Its description in RNAcentral is "partial 16S ribosomal RNA". It matches the Rfam family "Bacterial small subunit ribosomal RNA", at positions 524 to 777 of the family's 1533-position model. The record is from RNAcentral.